AUUAGAGUUUGAUUAUGGCUCAGGAUGAACGCUGGCGGCGUGCCUAACACAUGCAAGUCGAACGGAGACGGAGCUGGAAGGGACAGUUUACUGUAACGGAAAGAUCUGUCUUAGUGGCGGACGGGUGAGUAACGCGUGGGCAACCUGCCCUGUACCGGGGGAUAACACUUAGAAAUAGGUGCUAAUACCGCAUAAUAGGGAAUACCGCAUGGUAAUCCUUUGAAAACUCCGGUGGUACAGGAUGGGCCCGCGUCUGAUUAGCCAGUUGGCGGGGUAACGGCCCACCAAAGCGACGAUCAGCAGCCGGCCUGAGAGGGUGGACGGCCACACUGGGACUGAGACACGGCCCAGACUCCUACGGGAGGCAGCAGUGGGGAAUAUUGCACAAUGGGGGGAACCCUGAUGCAGCGACGCCGCGUGAGUGAAGAAGUAUUUCGGUAUGUAAAGCUCUGUCAGGANGGAAGAAAAAAGACGGUACCUGACCCAGAAGCCCCGGCUAACUACGUGCCAACAGCCGCGGUAAUACGUAGGGGGCAAGCGUUAUCCGGAUUUACUGGGUGUAAAGGGAACGUAAACGGCAGGGCAAGUCUGGAAUGAAAGGCAAGGGCCCCACCCCUGGACUGCUCCUGGAAACUGCCCGGUGGGAUGCGAGAAAAGGAAAUGGAAUUCCUAUUGUACCCGUGAAAUGCUUAAUAUUUAGAAGAAACACCAUUGCCGAAGGCGGGUUACUGGCAUGUAACUUAAAUUUUA
RNAcentral lists this ribosomal RNA (750 nucleotides) under uncultured bacterium. RNAcentral describes it as "bacterial SSU rRNA". It matches the Rfam family "Bacterial small subunit ribosomal RNA", at positions 1 to 750 of the family's 1533-position model. The record is from RNAcentral.